AACGAACGCUGGCGGCAUGCCUAACACAUGCAAGUCGAACGAAGUCUUCGGACUUAGUGGCGCACGGGUGCGUAACGCGUGGGAAUCUGCCCUUGGGUGCGGAAUAACUUCUCGAAAGGGAUGCUAAUACCGCAUAAUGUCGUAAGACCAAAGAUUUAUCGCCCAAGGAUGAGCCCGCGUAAGAUUAGCUAGUUGGUGGGGUAAAAGCCUACCAAGGCGACGAUCUUUAGCUGGUCUGAGAGGAUGAUCAGCCACACUGGGACUGAGACACGGCCCAGACUCCUACGGGAGGCAGCAGUGGGGAAUAUUGGACAAUGGGCGAAAGCCUGAUCCAGCAAUGCCGCGUGAGUGAUGAAGGCCCUAGGGUUGUAAAGCUCUUUUACCAGGGAUGAUAAUGACAGUACCGGGAGAAUAAGCCCCGGCUAACUCCGUGCCAGCAGCCGCGGUAAU
This 450-nucleotide ribosomal RNA is filed under the name uncultured bacterium. RNAcentral's name for it is "bacterial SSU rRNA". It matches the Rfam family "Bacterial small subunit ribosomal RNA", at positions 29 to 524 of the family's 1533-position model. The record is from RNAcentral.